GACGAAGGGGGCUAGCGUUGUUCGGAAUUACUGGGCGUAAAGCGCGUGUAGGCGGUUAUUCAAGUCGGGCGUGAAAGCCUUGAGCUCAACUCAAGAAAUGCAUUCGGUACUGGGUGACUAGAGGACCGGAGAGGAUAGUGGAAUUCCCAGUGUAGUGGUGAAAUACGUAGAGAUUGGGAAGAACACCAGUGGCGAAGGCGGCUAUCUGGACGGUUUCUGACGCUAAGACGCGAAAGCUUGGGGAGCAAACAGG
This 253-nucleotide ribosomal RNA is filed under the name uncultured bacterium. Its description in RNAcentral is "partial 16S ribosomal RNA". It matches the Rfam family "Bacterial small subunit ribosomal RNA", at positions 524 to 776 of the family's 1533-position model. The record is from RNAcentral.